Molecule: transfer RNA, 54 nt
Filed under: Gnathostoma binucleatum
Lineage: Eukaryota; Metazoa; Nematoda; Chromadorea; Rhabditida; Gnathostomatidae
Description: tRNA-Ser
Source: RNAcentral
GAAUUAUUUUUGGUGUUUUGAAAACACUGAUAGGAGCAUUUGUUCUAUAAUUUU